This 77-nucleotide transfer RNA is filed under the name Candidatus Moanibacter tarae. Its description in RNAcentral is "Candidatus Moanabacter tarae tRNA-Val". It matches the Rfam family "tRNA". From Rfam's summary of the family: Transfer RNA (tRNA) molecules are approximately 80 nucleotides in length. Their secondary structure includes four short double-helical elements and three loops (D, anti-codon, and T loops). Further hydrogen bonds mediate the characteristic L-shaped molecular structure. tRNAs have two regions of fundamental functional importance: the anti-codon, which is responsible for specific mRNA codon recognition, and the 3' end, to which the tRNAs corresponding amino acid is attached (by aminoacyl-tRNA synthetases). tRNAs cope with the degeneracy of the genetic code in two manners: having more than one tRNA (with a specific anti-codon) for a particular amino acid; and 'wobble' base-pairing, i.e. permitting non-standard base-pairing at the 3rd anti-codon position. Lineage: Bacteria; Pseudomonadati; Verrucomicrobiota; Opitutia; Puniceicoccales. The record is from RNAcentral.
GGGGGAUUAGCUCAGCUGGUUAGAGCGCUUGCUCGACACGCAAGAGGUCGCUGGUUCGACUCCAGCAUCUCCCACCA